ACGAGGAGGAGGGAAGGGGGGGUUGGGUAAGCCGCCUUUCCGUUUCCGACCUCAGAUCGGACGAGAUUACCCGCUGAAUUUAAGCAUAUCACUAAGCGGAGGAAAAGAAACU
This 112-nucleotide ribosomal RNA is filed under the name Turris normandavidsoni. RNAcentral describes it as "partial 28S ribosomal RNA". The stretch from base 47 to 112 matches the Rfam family "Eukaryotic large subunit ribosomal RNA", at positions 1 to 66 of the family's 3401-position model. Lineage: Eukaryota; Metazoa; Mollusca; Gastropoda; Neogastropoda; Turridae. The record is from RNAcentral.